RNAcentral lists this ribosomal RNA (429 nucleotides) under Chloroflexota bacterium. RNAcentral describes it as "Chloroflexi bacterium partial 16S ribosomal RNA". It matches the Rfam family "Bacterial small subunit ribosomal RNA", at positions 355 to 776 of the family's 1533-position model. The record is from RNAcentral. Lineage: Bacteria; Bacillati; Chloroflexota.
UGGGGAAUAUUGCACAAUGGGCGCAAGCCUGAUGCAGCCAUGCCGCGUGUGUGAAGAAGGCCUUCGGGUUGUAAAGCACUUUCAGCGGGGAGGAAGGCGUUAAGGUUAAUAACCUUGGCGAUUGACGUUACCCGCAGAAGAAGCACCGGCUAACUCCGUGCCAGCAGCCGCGGUAAUACGGAGGGUGCAAGCGUUAAUCGGAAUUACUGGGCGUAAAGCGCACGCAGGCGGUCUGUCAAGUCGGAUGUGAAAUCCCCGGGCUCAACCUGGGAACUGCAUUCGAAACUGGCAGGCUAGAGUCUUGUAGAGGGGGGUAGAAUUCCAGGUGUCGCGGUGAAAUGCGUAGAGAUCUGGAGGAAUACCGGUGGCGAAGGCGGCCCCCUGGACAAAGACUGACGCUCAGGUGCGAAAGCGUGGGGAGCAAACAGG